Molecule: ribosomal RNA, 467 nt
Filed under: uncultured bacterium
Lineage: Bacteria
Description: partial 16S ribosomal RNA
Rfam family: Bacterial small subunit ribosomal RNA
Source: RNAcentral
GACGAACGCUGGCGGCGUGCUUAACACAUGCAAGUCGAACGGAAAGGCCCUGCUUUUGUGGGGUGCUCGAGUGGCGAACGGGUGAGUAACACGUGAGUAACCUGCCCUUGACUUUGGGAUAACUUCAGGAAACUGGGGCUAAUACCGGAUAGGAGCUCCUGCUGCAUGGUGGGGGUUGGAAAGUUUCGGCGGUUGGGGAUGGACUCGCGGCUUAUCAGCUUGUUGGUGGGGUAGUGGCUUACCAAGGCUUUGACGGGUAGCCGGCCUGAGAGGGUGACCGGCCACAUGGGGCUUGGGAACCGGCCCAGACUCCUACGGGGGGCAGAAGGGGGAAUUAUUGCACAAGGGGCGGAGGCUGAAUGCAGCAACGCCGGGUGCGGGAUGACGCCCUUCGGGUUGUAACCGCUUUCGCCUGUGACGAAGCGUGAGUGACGGUAAUGGGUAAAGAAGCACCGGCUAAUUACGUG